RNAcentral lists this ribosomal RNA (496 nucleotides) under Nikoides danae. RNAcentral's name for it is "partial 16S ribosomal RNA". It matches the Rfam family "Bacterial large subunit ribosomal RNA", at positions 1944 to 2645 of the family's 2925-position model. Lineage: Eukaryota; Metazoa; Arthropoda; Malacostraca; Decapoda; Processidae. The record is from RNAcentral.
GACCGUGCGAAGGUAGCAUAAUCAUUAGUCUUUUAAUUGUAGGCUGGAAUGAAGGGUCGGACAAGAAACGCUCUGUCUCUUUUAUAAAAUUUGAAUUUUACUUUUAAGUGAAAAGGCUUAAAUAGUGUGACGGGACGAUAAGACCCUAUAAAACUUUACUUGAUAUUUAGAUUCUUUGAUUGAGAAGUUAAAAGAAAUAUUCUAUUUCUCUCGUUUUGUUGGGGUGAUAAAGAUAUAAUUUGUUUUGUAACUGUCUAGUAAGAAAAAUAAUACUAAUUAGUUCUUGAUCCUUUCUUAAAGAUUAAAAGAUUAAGUUACUUUAGGGAUAACAGCGUAAUUUUUUUUGAGAGUUCUUAUCGACAAAAUUAGUUGCGACCUCGAUGUUGAAUUAAAAUUACCUUUUUUUGUAGAAGAAUAAAAGGUGGGUCUGUUCGACCUUUAAAAUUUUACAUGAUUUGAGUUCAAACCGGUGUGAGCCAGGUUGGUUUCUAUCANA